AUGGCUGCGAUGAACGAAAAGGUGUUGGCUAAAUGUGGACAGAAUAUAGUUAGCCUCAAGAGGAAGUGGGACAGCCCCGCUGCAUAUCAUGCUGAUGCCUGCCACACCUCUCAGUCGCAUCAGCAUCCUACUGGAAACUCUGAUAUCAGGUUGUAUGUUGGUGAAGAUCGCAAGGCGAACAUCGCAUGCCACUUUAACAAGCAGAUUUUACAGAGCUAUCAGAACUACAUGACCAGUGCAUCACCUAAGCGUAUUCUGCUCCGCCAAAGUGGCAGCUGGAAAGAAUUUCCAGAAAAAAUUGUCAAGCUGGCUCAAGUUGAUUUCCGGACAAAGAAGACCAUCACAGAAGUAGGAUACCAGAACCAGCUAUUUUUGCUGGACUUUGUCCACAUGACAUUCAUUGACUCAAAGUCAGGUCUACAGAGGCCAAUCGCCUGGAUUGAUGACAAUGGAAGGCGUUACUUCCCAGAAGUUCUUAUUGAAGAUCAGAUAGUAUAUAGGAGGAAAGAUCUCGGCAAUGGAGAUCAUGUCUAUGUUAGAGCUGAGCCUAACGGGGCACGUGAAAUAAAUGACCGGUAUGGAGCAUCAGAGAGUUCCGCAGAAAGCUCAAACUUUGAGUCCAGUACUGAAGAGGUUUCCAGUGCUAAGAGAGUUAGAGCCGAGAAGGGUAUCAUCAGGAAAAUAAAUUGUGAUCAUAGAGAAACUGUGGGAGAGAAUGAACCACACACUUUGCUGCCUGCAGUCUUUAGUUGUCAACCACAGCAAGAUAAGCUGGGCGGGCAAUCACGUGCUCAAGGAACUACCUCUGUUGUGCAGAAGAUGUUGCUGCAGGGAAUGGGUACUGCUAUUGGUUCCAAGGAUAUUAUUGGAAUCCACCGAACGCCAUUCUUGAAUAAUUAUAGAGAAGACCGCUAUGAUCUCUUCCAAAAGCAGGCAGAGAUUACUAAAUCUCAGCAUGGUGAUGCAAAUGUGCGUUAUGCUUGGCUUCCUUGCUCGAAAGCUGCUGUGGAUGAAAUGAUGCUGAAUGGCACCUUGCAAGUUAAAAAGCCCACUAGGUGUCCACCCUAUGGAACUGGCGUACUCCUUGCACCAGCUAACUGCUCCAUUAACUGUGUGAAUUACUCUGAUGUUGAUGAAAAUGGCAUCAUCUAUGUGAUGUUGUGCCGGGUUGUAAUGGGGAACGUAGAAAUAGUUCACCAUGGAUCUAAGCAGCACCAGCCUAGUAACGAGUAUUUUGAUAGCGGUGUAGAUGACCUAAAAAACCCGCAGCAUUACAUUGUAUGGGAUAUGAAUCUGAAUAGUCACAUCUAUUCUGAAUUUGUAGUCACCAUCAAAUUGCCAUCUAAAGCCAAAGAUUCCCUCUUCACACAAGAAGAUUGUCAUGAUUCAUCUGAUGCUUCACUGGUCUUGAGUCCAAGUUCGGCCGACAGUGUGUCACAGGACAUGAAUCUUGAGGCAUCUCCAGCAUUGGGUGGUCAGUAUGAAGCCCCCAUGUUAGGAGGAUCAAUGGCAAAAGCUCCAAGUACACCUUGGAUGCCUUUUUCCAUGUUAUUUGCUGCUAUUUCAACGAAACUUCCUCGUGAGAAAAUGGACAUGAUCAAUAACUGUUAUGAAGAAUUCAAGGCCAAGAAAAUAAGCAGAAUUGACCUAGUGAAGAGGCUGCGUCUCAUAGUUGGUGACAGAAUGCUGGUAUCCACAAUAAUUCGGCUCCAAGAUAAGUUGCCUCCGAUGGCGAAGCGGGAAGCAGCAAAUGCUCCAGCCAAGGCACGAGGUCAGUGA
RNAcentral lists this ribosomal RNA (1779 nucleotides) under Triticum aestivum (bread wheat). RNAcentral's name for it is "partial small subunit ribosomal RNA". The record is from RNAcentral. Lineage: Eukaryota; Viridiplantae; Streptophyta; Magnoliopsida; Poales; Poaceae.